UGGGCUGGACAACCGAGGCUGCAACGCCGUUUGUCGCAUGCAUCGAGUUCUAUCAAAUCAAUCGCAGCCAGUUGGAUUACAGAUUCGUAUUGAUCGUUGACAAGAAAGUCUGAACGUGUAAUGCGUGACAAGUGGAAGAAGAAGCGAAUGAGGAGAUUGAAGCGAAAACGGAGAAAGAUGAGGGCGAGGUCAAAGUGAAGAGAACUCGUCGAUGUCUUCGAGUUUUAGCGGCUUGCGACCACGAGAAGCGUGACUUUUGGUCGUGCGUAUGAGAGCGAGGACUUUCUGGACGUCUUGUGUAAACAUAGCCUGGGUGCAUGUUGUUCCUACUGGUUGUAAAAUAAAGUUGAAAUCAUGCGCCA
Corticium candelabrum is the source of this 362-nucleotide long non-coding RNA. RefSeq lists it as uncharacterized. The transcript has 3 exons. NCBI's taxonomy places the organism in Eukaryota, Metazoa, Porifera, Homoscleromorpha, Homosclerophorida, Plakinidae. The record is from RefSeq and is a predicted model, not a curated record.